UGGGGGAAUAUUGCACAAUGGGGGGAAACCCUGAUGCAGCAACGCCGCGUGAAGGAAGACGGUCUUCGGAUUGUAAACUUUUGUUCUUGGUGAAGAAAAUGACGGUAGCCAAGGAGGAAGCCACGGCUAACUACGUGCCAGCAGCCGCGGUAAUACGUAGGUGGCGAGCGUUGUCCGGAAUUACUGGGUGUAAAGGGAGUGUAGGCGGGAAGGCAAGUCAGAAGUGAAAAUUAUGGGCUUAACCCAUAACCUGCUUUUGAAACUGUUUUCUUGAGUGAGGCAGAGGCAAGCGGAAUUCCUAGUGUAGCGGUGAAAUGCGUAGAUAUUAGGAGGAACACCAGUGGCGAAGGCGGCUUGCUGGGCCUUUACUGACGCUGAGGCUCGAAAGCGUGGGGAGCAAACAAGAUUAGAUACCCUGGUAGU
This 423-nucleotide ribosomal RNA is filed under the name uncultured Clostridium sp. Its description in RNAcentral is "bacterial SSU rRNA". It matches the Rfam family "Bacterial small subunit ribosomal RNA", at positions 354 to 794 of the family's 1533-position model. Lineage: Bacteria; Bacillati; Bacillota; Clostridia; Eubacteriales; Clostridiaceae. The record is from RNAcentral.